UUAAGUUAUUAAGGGCGCACGGUGGAUGCCUUGGCACUAGAAGCCGAUGAAGGACGUUACUAACGACGAUAUGCUUUGGGGAGCUGUAAGUAAGCUUUGAUCCAGAGAUUUCCGAAUGGGGAAACCCAGCAUGAGUUAUGUCAUGUUAUCGAUAUGUGAAUACAUAGCAUAUCAGAAGGCACACCCGGAGAACUGAAACAUCUUAGUACCCGGAGGAAGAGAAAGAAAAUUCGAUUCCCUUAGUAGCGGCGAGCGAAACGGGAAGAGCCCAAACCAACAAGCUUGCUUGUUGGGGUUGUAGGACACUCUAUACGGAGUUACAAAGGACGACAUUAGACGAAUCAUCUGGAAAGAUGAAUCAAAGAAGGUAAUAAUCCUGUAGUCGAAAAUGUUGUCUCUCUUGAGUGGAUCCUGAGUACGACGGAGCACGUGAAAUUCCGUCGGAAUCUGGGAGGACCAUCUCCUAAGGCUAAAUACUCUCUAGUGACCGAUAGUGAACCAGUACCGUGAGGGAAAGGUGAAAAGCACCCCGGAAGGGGAGUGAAAUAGAACCUGAAACCGUGUGCUUACAAGUAGUCAGAGCCCGUUAAUGGGUGAUGGCGUGCCUUUUGUAGAAUGAACCGGCGAGUUACGAUUUGAUGCAAGGUUAAGCAGUAAAUGUGGAGCCGUAGCGAAAGCGAGUCUGAAUAGGGCGUUUAGUAUUUGGUCGUAGACCCGAAACCAGGUGAUCUACCCUUGGUCAGGUUGAAGUUCAGGUAACACUGAAUGGAGGACCGAACCGACUUACGUUGAAAAGUGAGCGGAUGAACUGAGGGUAGCGGAGAAAUUCCAAUCGAACCUGGAGAUAGCUGGUUCUCUCCGAAAUAGCUUUAGGGCUAGCCUCAAGUGAUGAUUAUUGGAGGUAGAGCACUGUUUGGACGAGGGGCCCCUCUCGGGUUACCGAAUUCAGACAAACUCCGAAUGCCAAUUAAUUUAACUUGGGAGUCAGAACAUGGGUGAUAAGGUCCGUGUUCGAAAGGGAAACAGCCCAGACCACCAGCUAAGGUCCCAAAAUAUAUGUUAAGUGGAAAAGGAUGUGGCGUUGCCCAGACAACUAGGAUGUUGGCUUAGAAGCAGCCAUCAUUUAAAGAGUGCGUAAUAGCUCACUAGUCGAGUGACACUGCGCCGAAAAUGUACCGGGGCUAAACAUAUUACCGAAGCUGUGGAUUGUCCUUUGGACAAUGGUAGGAGAGCGUUCUAAGGGCGUUGAAGCAUGAUCGUAAGGACAUGUGGAGCGCUUAGAAGUGAGAAUGCCGGUGUGAGUAGCGAAAGACGGGUGAGAAUCCCGUCCACCGAUUGACUAAGGUUUCCAGAGGAAGGCUCGUCCGCUCUGGGUUAGUCGGGUCCUAAGCUGAGGCCGACAGGCGUAGGCGAUGGAUAACAGGUUGAUAUUCCUGUACCACCUAUAAUCGUUUUAAUCGAUGGGGGGACGCAGUAGGAUAGGCGAAGCGUGCGAUUGGAUUGCACGUCUAAGCAGUAAGGCUGAGUAUUAGGCAAAUCCGGUACUCGUUAAGGCUGAGCUGUGAUGGGGAGAAGACAUUGUGUCUUCGAGUCGUUGAUUUCACACUGCCGAGAAAAGCCUCUAGAUAGAAAAUAGGUGCCCGUACCGCAAACCGACACAGGUAGUCAAGAUGAGAAUUCUAAGGUGAGCGAGCGAACUCUCGUUAAGGAACUCGGCAAAAUGACCCCGUAACUUCGGGAGAAGGGGUGCUCUUUAGGGUUAACGCCCAGAAGAGCCGCAGUGAAUAGGCCCAAGCGACUGUUUAUCAAAAACACAGGUCUCUGCUAAACCGUAAGGUGAUGUAUAGGGGCUGACGCCUGCCCGGUGCUGGAAGGUUAAGAGGAGUGGUUAGCUUCUGCGAAGCUACGAAUCGAAGCCCCAGUAAACGGCGGCCGUAACUAUAACGGUCCUAAGGUAGCGAAAUUCCUUGUCGGGUAAGUUCCGACCCGCACGAAAGGCGUAACGAUUUGGGCACUGUCUCAACGAGAGACUCGGUGAAAUCAUAGUACCUGUGAAGAUGCAGGUUACCCGCGACAGGACGGAAAGACCCCGUGGAGCUUUACUGUAGCCUGAUAUUGAAAUUCGGCACAGCUUGUACAGGAUAGGUAGGAGCCUUUGAAACGUGAGCGCUAGCUUACGUGGAGGCGCUGGUGGGAUACUACCCUAGCUGUGUUGGCUUUCUAACCCGCACCACUUAUCGUGGUGGGAGACAGUGUCAGGCGGGCAGUUUGACUGGGGCGGUCGCCUCCUAAAAGGUAACGGAGGCGCUCAAAGGUUCCCUCAGAAUGGUUGGAAAUCAUUCAUAGAGUGUAAAGGCAUAAGGGAGCUUGACUGCGAGACCUACAAGUCGAGCAGGGUCGAAAGACGGACUUAGUGAUCCGGUGGUUCCGCAUGGAAGGGCCAUCGCUCAACGGAUAAAAGCUACCCCGGGGAUAACAGGCUUAUCUCCCCCAAGAGUUCACAUCGACGGGGAGGUUUGGCACCUCGAUGUCGGCUCAUCGCAUCCUGGGGCUGUAGUCGGUCCCAAGGGUUGGGCUGUUCGCCCAUUAAAGCGGUACGCGAGCUGGGUUCAGAACGUCGUGAGACAGUUCGGUCCCUAUCCGUCGUGGGCGUAGGAAAUUUGAGAGGAGCUGUCCUUAGUACGAGAGGACCGGGAUGGACAUACCUCUGGUGUACCAGUUGUCGUGCCAACGGCAUAGCUGGGUAGCUAUGUGUGGACGGGAUAAGUGCUGAAAGCAUCUAAGCAUGAAGCCCCCCUCAAGAUGAGAUUUCCCAACUUCGGUUAUAAGAUCCCUCAAAGAUGAUGAGGUUAAUAGGUUCGAGGUGGAAGCAUGGUGACAUGUGGAGCUGACGAAUACUAAUCGAUCGAAGACUUA
RNAcentral lists this ribosomal RNA (2916 nucleotides) under Staphylococcus aureus. RNAcentral describes it as "Bacterial large subunit ribosomal RNA". It matches the Rfam family "Bacterial large subunit ribosomal RNA". RNAcentral also lists the same sequence under 1 other name. The record is from RNAcentral. Lineage: Bacteria; Bacillati; Bacillota; Bacilli; Caryophanales; Staphylococcaceae.